This 337-nucleotide ribosomal RNA is filed under the name Klebsiella michiganensis. RNAcentral's name for it is "bacterial SSU rRNA". It matches the Rfam family "Bacterial small subunit ribosomal RNA", at positions 90 to 430 of the family's 1533-position model. The record is from RNAcentral. Lineage: Bacteria; Pseudomonadati; Pseudomonadota; Gammaproteobacteria; Enterobacterales; Enterobacteriaceae.
GACGAGUGGCGGACGGGUGAGUAAUGUCUGGGAAACUGCCUGAUGGAGGGGGAUAACUACUGGAAACGGUAGCUAAUACCGCAUAACGUCGCAAGACCAAAGAGGGGGACCUUCGGGCCUCUUGCCAUCAGAUGUGCCCAGAUGGGAUUAGCUAGUAGGUGGGGUAACGGCUCACCUAGGCGACGAUCCCUAGCUGGUCUGAGAGGAUGACCAGCCACACUGGAACUGAGACACGGUCCAGACUCCUACGGGAGGCAGCAGUGGGGAAUAUUGCACAAUGGGCGCAAGCCUGAUGCAGCCAUGCCGCGUGUAUGAAGAAGGCCUUCGGGUUGUAAAG